AACGGUCUAUACCUGCGGUACCUGCGGAAGGAUCAUUAUCGAGUUUACAACUCCCAAACCAUUGUGAAUCUUACCUUUUCGUUGCUUCGGCGGGAUCGCCCCGGGCGCUUCGGUGCCCCGGAUUCAGGCGCCCGCCGGGGGACCUAAACUCUUGUAUUAUAGUGGAUUUCUGAGUGGAUUACACAAAUAAUCAAAACUUUCAACAACGGAUCUCU
Molecule: unclassified non-coding RNA, 215 nt
Filed under: soil metagenome
Description: partial contains 5.8S ribosomal RNA, internal transcribed spacer 2, and large subunit ribosomal RNA
Source: RNAcentral